Setaria italica (foxtail millet) is the source of this 1927-nucleotide long non-coding RNA. RefSeq lists it as uncharacterized. The transcript has 2 exons. NCBI's taxonomy places the organism in Eukaryota, Viridiplantae, Streptophyta, Magnoliopsida, Poales, Poaceae. The record is from RefSeq and is a predicted model, not a curated record.
AUUCCUCUCCCUCCCCCUCCAGCCCACCCGGUCCGUGCCGCUCCCCGCCCGUCCGGGACUCUCGUCUCCCCGACGCGAGGAGCCCGGGCAGCCAUGGACUCCGGCACGAGACACUCAGGCAAGGUGUUCGACAGAAUGCCCCCGUGCUUGUCGAACCACCGCCACCGCCACUCCAGCCUGGCAGGCCGAACUGCACCCAAGGCCGACCCAGCGUGAGAUUGAGUUGCCUCCAACCUGAACCAGCGCUUGUUUCUUCAGAUCGAACAGCCCCUCAACAAGCUAGGCAUUGGAUUUGUGCUCGCGGCGCACUGCAGAUUUGGUUUCAAGCUUUUCUCGAUGAUUACCUUUGUUUGCUUGCUUGCACUUAGCAAUCCGUGUAAAAGAAAUGGACCAUUACUUGCACUUGGCCAUUCUCGUACCAUGCUUUUGCGAGGAAGAAGAAUUGCGUCUGCCCGGCAAUCAGCAGCUAAGAACAAUAGCAUCGCAUCUUCCAUUGGUCCCAAGCGUCUUCAAAAAACCAAGCAGCCAGCAUCGGCGAAUCCUCUCCAAUUUCUUCAUUUUCCCUUGGUUGAGCCCAGUUGCAGAUCACAAUCAUCAAAUCGAGUAGCAACAACCACAAGGGGCGGCGGCGGGCAGGAAGGGAAGAAGGGGCGGCGGCGGGUGGCUGGGGCCGCGACAGGCAGAAAAGGGUGCUGGGCAGGAAGGGGCAGCGUCAGGGGGCUUGGGCGGCAGGCGGGUGGCUGGGGUGUCGACAGGAAUGGGCAGCGGCGAGCAGAGUCUCGGCACGGAUAAGCCGUGAGGCCCCCCAAGGGCAUAAUGGUGAGGCUAAGUGGUUAAAUGUUGAACAAAAUGCAAAAUGGAUUGAAAAAUGUUGAAAAGGCAUUCUAGCUAUGUGACGUUGUUUCAUAAUGGCAAACUAGCGAAACCAAUUGCAGGAUGGCAUUCCAGCGAAACCCACUUCUGAUAAUGGCAAAAUUCCAAUUUUCUCGUGCUCUGGUGCCAAUGAGGGCCGGUGGCAUGUCCCGAUUCCUCAGGGAGGUGGCAGGCAAUGAUGUCCGCUGUGCUGGCUCUUUCCAAGGAUGGCUUGUGGGAGUGGUUCCUGUCAGGGAUCGUGGCGCGCAAUACAGAAAAUUCAAUGGCGAGUGCUUCAUGGUGAAUGCUUUCUCGCACAAGGUGGUGCGUUUGCCACAUCUGAGCAUUUUCAGUCACGGGCUUUCUGGUUACUCUCGUAAGGCUCUCCCCGUCAUCCCAGUCAACAAUGGCUUCAGUGAGGUCUACUUCACAACUGGUGACAGAUAGACAAUGUCGCUCCGCAAAGUGGUACUAUCUGCUUUACCUAACUCAGGUUCCAAGUGCUCGUGGUUGCUUCCUCGUACCACGGUAUUACGCACACACUUGCUCUCUGGCAACAUGGGAUGAACACUUGGCAUGUUUGCGAUGGCCUUCCAGUUGCUGGGCCCAAAGAUCUUGCCUUCUACCAGGGGAAGCUGUACGUGCUCUCGAGGUUCAUGCCACGCCUCUAUGCCUUUGAACUUGUUGACCAAUAUAGUAAAUAUGAGCGCGGUUAUUCCGACCCUUCUUAUGAUACGUUUGUGUACAACGUGAGAAAUGGUACGACAAGGCCUUUUGAUGUCGAGUUAUCACCAGGUAACUUUGGGGCACCAAACGGUAAGCUCGAUGUCCCGGUGUGGUAGUUAACAUCCAAAUGAACUGCAGCUGAGUAAAUGUGAUCUUAUCGGCUGUUUUGUGCUGCCGUUUGUUGUCUGGGUUCUGAAUACUAUCGUGCUGUCGUGUGGCAUCUCCAUUUCUAGGACAAUGAACUCUUUCGUCAAUGUUCCUGUAUAAAUGGUGAGGGAUGUCACAAUUGUAGGAGAGCUAUGGUUCUUCAAUGCUUAUAUGUCUCAGUUGUAGUGUUCUGUUUCUCUUC